UACAGAGGGUGCAAGCGUUAUUCGGAGUUACUGGGCGUAAAGAGCGCGUAGGUGGUUUGGCAAGUUUGAUGUGAAAGCCCUGGACUCAAUCCAGGAAGUGCAUCGAAUACUGCUAGACUAGAGUAUAGGAGAGGUAAGCGGAAUUCCUGGUGUAGAGGUGAAAUUCGUAGAUAUCAGGAGGAACAACAGUGGCGAAGGCGGCUUACUGGACUAUUACUGACACUGAGGCGCGAAAGCGUGGGGAGCAAACAGG
This 253-nucleotide ribosomal RNA is filed under the name uncultured bacterium. RNAcentral describes it as "partial 16S ribosomal RNA". It matches the Rfam family "Bacterial small subunit ribosomal RNA", at positions 524 to 776 of the family's 1533-position model. The record is from RNAcentral.